GCAUCUAAGAAUAGUUUUUUAUACAUACACAAUUUUUAAUGUUUAUUAUAACAACAAAACCUACAAUUAUCUGAAAGUAAUAUUUAAUUAAAACAAGAUUAUAAAAUAAAAUAAAAAUGUUAGCACACUUUUCCUUCCUCCUUCUUCUCGACUUUUCUUCCCCCAACUCACAGACUCCCUACCACCCACCUCCCCUGUUUUUUCACUCUCACUCUCUCAUCUCUCUUCCCCCAACUCAAAAAAAUUCUACGAUAAUUGAAACACCAAAAUAGCAAAAAUACAACAUGUGAAAACAGCAAAAAAAUCACACUGAAACACAUAAUUCAAACCACCACAAUAACUAUAAUCCUCAAUUUUUUCAAUUGAAACAUAAAACCCUAACCAACCAUCAGACUAAGCAAUUUCAACAGUUAACAAAAUAAAUACAUAAAUUGAAAGAAAAAAAAUUCACCCGAAUAUAUUUAAAAUUGAAAAAAACAAAACAAAUAAAAACCCUAACCAACCAUCAGACUAAGCAAUUUCAACACUUAACAAAAUAAAUACAUAAAUUGAAACAGAAAAAAAAAUUCACCCGAAUAUAUUUAAAAUUGAAAAAAACAAAACAAAAAAAAGGGAGAUUAUAUGUACAGACAGCUGCUGCGAGAGGGAGGUGGUGGUGUGACUGGCGAUGGGGGGUUUGGGUUGGAGAGAGAGGGAACUAAUUUGUGGGGUCAGAGAGGGGGAAAGACCGAGAGAGAAAGUGUCGCGUUUUUCAGAAAAAAUAUUAGGAACCUUGCGCGACGACGGAUAAAGGCGUCACGCAAGCUUAUUUUUUUAACUUGCGCAAUGAAUAAAAGAAACUUGUCCCGCCAUUUCGAUAGUGUAAUCUUGCGAGACGAAAUAUUACAUAGCGCAGACCAAAUAUUUUAGCCUUGCGCGAUGAAAGAAAAGAAAUACGUCGCCCAGGUUCGAUAUUUUAAUCAACAGGAGGUGGACUGCCAAAAUUUCACGACCUUGCGUGACGAAAAAAUACGGCGCAAAACCAGGAACAGAAAACCCUAAACAUUCUAACAUUGCAUGACGGAUUAGUGCAUCAGACAACAUUUUUUGCGACGUAAAAAGUCUUGGCGUCGCGCAGACUUCCAAAAUGUAACCUUGCGCGACAAAAAGGUCUUGAUACGUCGCGCAAAGACUUUUCUAUUAGCGGGAUUUGAACCGCCAAGAUUUUCCGAACUUGCGCGAUGAGAUAGUGUGACGCAUCGCGCAAAAGAUGAACUAUGAACCCUAACACCAUUGUGUGACGAAAAAUUGCAUCUAACAAUAUUUUGUGCCACUAAAAUGGUACGUGCGUCGCGCAAAGUCCCUAAACCCGUGAACCCUAAAC
RNAcentral lists this long non-coding RNA (1363 nucleotides) under Prunus persica (peach). RNAcentral describes it as "long non-coding RNA (PPER_LNC000477)". The record is from RNAcentral. Lineage: Eukaryota; Viridiplantae; Streptophyta; Magnoliopsida; Rosales; Rosaceae.